RNAcentral lists this ribosomal RNA (262 nucleotides) under uncultured archaeon. RNAcentral describes it as "partial 16S ribosomal RNA". It matches the Rfam family "Archaeal small subunit ribosomal RNA", at positions 748 to 1009 of the family's 1478-position model. The record is from RNAcentral.
CAGCCGUAAACUAUGCUCGCUAGGUGUCAGGCAUGGCGCGACCGUGUCUGGUGCCGCAGGGAAGCCGUGAAGCGAGCCACCUGGGAAGUACGGCCGCAAGGCUGAAACUUAAAGGAAUUGGCGGGGGAGCACAACAACGGGUGGAGCCUGCGGUUUAAUUGGACUCAACGCCGGACAACUCACCGGGGACGGACAGCAAUAUGUAGGCCAGGCUGAAGACCUUGCCUGAAUCGCUGAGAGGAGGUGCAUGGCGUAGACGUCU